RNAcentral lists this small RNA (125 nucleotides) under Marmota monax (woodchuck). Lineage: Eukaryota; Metazoa; Chordata; Mammalia; Rodentia; Sciuridae. The record is from RNAcentral.
GCUGGACAUGGUGGUGCAUGCCUGUAAUCCUGGCAUCUUGGGAGGCUGAGACAGAAGGAUAUCAAGUUCAAAGCCAGACUCAGUAACUGUGAGGCACUAAGUAACUCAGUGAGACCCUGUCUCUA